GCCCUCAUGGCUUAGUGGUACAGCGUCGCACUCGUACACAUGCGUAAUGCGAAGAUCGGCGGUUCGAUUCCGCCUGAGGGCA
Trematosphaeria pertusa is the source of this 82-nucleotide non-coding RNA. The record is from the annotation of a RefSeq genome assembly. NCBI's taxonomy places the organism in Eukaryota, Fungi, Ascomycota, Dothideomycetes, Pleosporales, Trematosphaeriaceae.